UACGGAGGGUGCAAGCGUUAUCCGGAUUCACUGGGUUUAAAGGGUGCGUAGGAGGGCAGGGAAGUCAGUGGUGAAAUCUCCGGGCUUAACUCGGAAACUGCCGUUGAUACUCUCUGUCUUGAAUACCGUGGAGAUGAGCGGAAUAUGUCAUGUAGCGGUGAAAUGCUUAGAUAUGACAUAGAACACCAAUUGCGAAGGCAGCUCGUUACACGAAUAUUGACUCUGAGGCACGAAAGCGUGGGGAUCAAACAGG
This 253-nucleotide unclassified non-coding RNA is filed under the name uncultured Chitinophagaceae bacterium. RNAcentral describes it as "contains 16S-23S intergenic spacer region". It matches the Rfam family "Bacterial small subunit ribosomal RNA", at positions 524 to 776 of the family's 1533-position model. The record is from RNAcentral. Lineage: Bacteria; Pseudomonadati; Bacteroidota; Chitinophagia; Chitinophagales; Chitinophagaceae.